Molecule: ribosomal RNA, 253 nt
Filed under: uncultured bacterium
Lineage: Bacteria
Description: partial 16S ribosomal RNA
Rfam family: Bacterial small subunit ribosomal RNA
Source: RNAcentral
UACGUAGGGUGCAAGCGUUGUCCGGAAUUAUUGGGCGUAAAGAGCUCGUAGGCGGUUUGUCGCGUCUGCUGUGAAAACUCGGGGCUUAACCCCGGGCCUGCAGUGGGUACGGGCAGACUAGAGUGCGGUAGGGGAGACUGGAAUUCCUGGUGUAGCGGUGAAAUGCGCAGAUAUCGGGAAGAACACCGGUGGCGAAGGCGGGUCUCUGGGCAGUAACUGACGCUGAGGAGCGAAAGCGUGGGGAGCGAACAGG